This is a non-coding RNA of Paramuricea clavata, 224 nucleotides long. Lineage: Eukaryota; Metazoa; Cnidaria; Anthozoa; Malacalcyonacea; Plexauridae. The record is from the annotation of a GenBank genome assembly.
AACAAAUAGUUUGGAAAUAGGUUUUAUUGUCUUUGCUUUUGUGUCUUUGAAAAUGUUUCGAAAUUUCAUCAGCGGAGUAUUCUUUGUCUCCUUUAUGUUUCUCUCAGCGUUUUUUGGCUCAAUAUUUAUGAUGGGGCCGACUUUACCGCUGCUGUUGUUUAAGCCAAAUUGGUUCCGAUACACAAGUGAUAAACUGAUGGGCACAUGGCUUGCCUUGCCAGUUG